UGGCACGUACUGUCAUAGGGUUGUACUGUGUGGCACGUACUGUCAUAGGGUUGUACUGUGUGGCACGUACUGUCAUAGGGUUGUACUGUGUGGCACGUACUGUCAUAGGGUUGUACUGUGUGGCACGUAAUGUCAUAGGGUUGUACUGUGUGGCACGUAAUGUCAUAGGGUUGUACUGUGUGGCACGUACUGUCAUAGGGUUGUACUGUGUGGCACGUACUGUCAUAGGGUUGUACUGUGUGGCACGUACUGUCAUAGGGUUGUACUGUGUGGCACGUAAUGUCAUAGGGUUGUACUGUGUGGCACGUAAUGUCAUAGGGUUGUACUGUGUGGCACGUACUGUCAUAGGGUUGUACUGUGUGGCACGUACUGUCAUAGGGUUGUACUGUGUGGCACGUACUGUCAUAGGGUUGUACUGUGUGGCACGUACUGUCAUAGGGUUGUACUGUGUGGCACGUACUGUCAUAGGGUUGUACUGUGUGGCACGUACUGUCAUAGGGUUGUACUGUGUGGCACGUACUUGUUAGGGCAAAACCCCCACCUCUAUGAUUGUCAGGAUUCCAAAUUGAAGUUUUAUGAGCGCUCAGAGAGAGCUGACACAGACACACUUGCUGAAUCAACU
This is a long non-coding RNA of Bufo bufo (common toad), 622 nucleotides long. RefSeq lists it as uncharacterized. The record is from RefSeq and is a predicted model, not a curated record. The transcript is spliced from 3 exons. Lineage: Eukaryota; Metazoa; Chordata; Amphibia; Anura; Bufonidae.